RNAcentral lists this transfer RNA (88 nucleotides) under Skermanella aerolata. RNAcentral describes it as "tRNA-Ile". It matches the Rfam family "tRNA". From Rfam's summary of the family: Transfer RNA (tRNA) molecules are approximately 80 nucleotides in length. Their secondary structure includes four short double-helical elements and three loops (D, anti-codon, and T loops). The record is from RNAcentral. Lineage: Bacteria; Pseudomonadati; Pseudomonadota; Alphaproteobacteria; Rhodospirillales; Azospirillaceae.
GGAGGGAUGGCUGAGAGGCCUAUAGCGCCCGCCUGAUAAGCGGGUACACCGGCAACGGUGUCGCGGGUUUGAAUCCCGCUCCCUAUUC